UCCCAUGUGGCUCAGUGGGUAGAGCAUGGCACUUGCAAUACCAGGGUUGUGGGUGCGAUUCUCUUCGGGGAC
Molecule: transfer RNA, 72 nt
Filed under: Salmo salar (Atlantic salmon)
Lineage: Eukaryota; Metazoa; Chordata; Actinopteri; Salmoniformes; Salmonidae
Rfam family: tRNA
About the family: Transfer RNA (tRNA) molecules are approximately 80 nucleotides in length. Their secondary structure includes four short double-helical elements and three loops (D, anti-codon, and T loops).
Source: Rfam by way of RNAcentral